GUGAUCACUCUUAUCGUAGACUACUGAGUUGAGCUCAUCCCAAGGAGGUUGCAGGCUGACUGGCGUACGAGGUGGCUCGUCGUAGUCAUCUAUAUCAUCGUUGGGGUGGGUGAUCACCUGACUAGGCUGAGGAGUUUGAUUAAAAAUCGGGGAGACUUGUCUGCUGUCAUCGUUGUGGUCAGGAGAUGUGUGGACACAUGCGUUUAUGUGGUUAGGUGAAACGUGGACACUCUGAAUGUGGAUUAAGUGGUCGCUCCACUAAGACCUUCUUCUUUGAUUUUGGUUUCCUCAUGGUUCACGGCGGAGGCGAAGAGAGGGAGUGUUGACGGCUUAAGAUUCGAGACGAAGAGUAUGAGGCGGAGAUGAAGGAAUUGAAGAUAAAUUAGGUUUUGUGAUUUGGGGAAAAGAGGGAGUGUUGAUACGCUUUUGAUUUUUUUUUUUUAAAAAAAAUUUAUGACACCCUUGGUUAAAAGCAAACUCUGGUUGGAUUAGUUUAGAGGGUAUAUGUGACAUUGAAGGCAGAUAAAGUGUGUCACAUGACUAUUGUGUCUGAUUGUGUAAUAUGAAAGACAAAAAGUGUCUUAGAAUGUAAAAAUUUCUUUUGUAAAUUGUUGAUUGAAUAACAACAUAUUUCAAAUGAUUUUAAUAAUUUUACGCAAAUCUCAUGUUCAAUAACACAUAAAGGUAUUUACAAAUCCUUAAUCGAAUAACAGACGAUUUUAAUAAAAAUCCAAAAUCUCCAGUUCAAGUUUAAUACACCCCCCCCCUAACGCUGGUAAUUAAGAUUUAGCAAAAUAGCUAUGUCGAAGAGUAAUUUAAUUGUUUUUGACUUU
This 833-nucleotide long non-coding RNA is filed under the name Brassica napus (rape). RNAcentral describes it as "long non-coding RNA (BNAP_LNC012977)". The record is from RNAcentral. Lineage: Eukaryota; Viridiplantae; Streptophyta; Magnoliopsida; Brassicales; Brassicaceae.